RNAcentral lists this ribosomal RNA (509 nucleotides) under uncultured Diversisporaceae. RNAcentral's name for it is "SSU rRNA". It matches the Rfam family "Eukaryotic small subunit ribosomal RNA", at positions 569 to 1078 of the family's 1831-position model. The record is from RNAcentral. Lineage: Eukaryota; Fungi; Glomeromycota; Glomeromycetes; Diversisporales.
AGCAGCCGCGGUAAUUCCAGCUCCAAUAGCGUAUAUUAAAGUUGUUGCAGUUAAAAAGCUCGUAGUUGAACUUCGGGGUCUACCCAUUGGUCAGGCUUAAUUGUCUGCACUGGUGAGAUGGAUCUCUACCUUCUGAGGAACUUUCAUGCCAUUUAUUUGGUGUGGUUGGAAAUCAGGACUAUUACUUUGAAAAAUUAGAGUGUUUAAAGCAGACUAUCGUCUGAAUACAUUAGCAUGGAAUAAUGAAAUAGGACGGACUGAUUCUAUUUCGUUGGUUUCUAGGAUCACCGUAAUGAUUAAUAGGGAUAGUUGGGGGCAUUAGUAUUCAAUUGUCAGAGGUGAAAUUCUUGGAUUUAUUGAAGACUAACUACUGCGAAAGCAUUUGCCAAGGAUGUUUUCAUUAAUCAAGAACGAAAGUUAGGGGAUCGAAGACGAUCAGAUACCGUCGUAGUCUUAACCAUAAACUAUGCCGACUAGGGAUCGGACGAAGUUAAUUUUAUAAUGACGCG